CCGCGGGUCAAAGGUCGCUCUCGCGUGUCGGAAUCGGCGGGCCUGAGCGCGCGCGUCUUUCCACGUGUCACCGAGGCUCCGCGCGGGCCUUCCCCCGAGCCGCUGCCGUGGAACAAAACGAGCGCGUCUUCCGGUCGCGGGUCAUAAACGCCACGGAUGAUGGCGUCGGCGCGAACGAGUUGCUCUUUUGACCUUUUGGUGGGUCGUCCGUCGAAAGCUGACGUGAUGCGUUUCCAAGACGUCGCGUGUGUACAUUCGACGUCUCGCUUCUGCCAAGCAGAUCGGAUCCAUGGAUCCCGAUCUGGUGUCCCGGUGGCUCUGGCGGCGGCCCCGUCGCGUCGUCCCGUCCGUAUUGAGUGUUCGUUCGGUGUCUUCGCGCUGUUCUGACAUAAGCCGAACAGGAAAUGUUACGACUGCUGGCCGCUGUGUUUGCAUGUCACUGACAGCACAUCGAGGGUUUGAUUUUGUGCGGCGGAUAGCAAAAGUCGACACACCUUGGUUGAAAAGGCCCAACUACUGUUCUGUACAACCGAAGUGCAAAGAAAAGUGAUCGUUUUUGAGAGGGGCAAGAAAAAUGAAUUCCGCAUGAAGCGAUCACAUUCCAACUCAUCUUGGCAGGUGCCGCUGCCUUGUCUGCCGCCUUUGAUUUGGACUGAACUGAAACGUCUCCAUUGUUGUAUUGUUCGGCGCAUUCCUGACAUUUUCUUUUUCGCCCCGAAGGUGUUUGCGCUAACGCCGCCUGCCGCUCGGAACCGGUUCUUAUUUCCUCCGCUAGGAGUGUGCGGCCUUGGCGCCAGACGGUUACUCAAGAUCAAUCUUCUUUCCAUUCUGGCCUGACCUCACGUUGAUCCCGAAAUUGGACUUCGGUUGACCGUUUUAAUGACGACAAAAUGAAAAGCAAAAUAUUCAAGCGUGUAAGACAAGAAGCGGAGAGCGUGUCCUCUCACUAUCGUGGUCCUUCUCAUCCAAUCGGUGACGUAUAUUCCACCCACCGAUGACGCCCGGUCCCUCCUCGAAUCUCUUUUCAUCCGUCAGUCUCUCCAUGUGCUGUAAAUCUUCAGCCAUCUUUCUCCGUGGUUGCAUUGGAGGUGCAUCGCCCUUCGGCCAUUUUUUUUUUUCUCCUUCCCAACGGCAGGAGCGACUUGAUCAAGUCAAGUCGAGCUUUAUUGUCGAAUGUGCUCUACGUGCAACGUGCGGCACAAAUGAAAUGACUUUCAUCUGCGCCGCAGGGGGUGGCCAAGUUUGGCGACGACACUCGGACAAAAUACGGAGAGGACUUUAGAAAUACGUGCGUGGCUUGAAAACAUGGACUGAAAUCCCACAGAUGGAAGUUGUAAAUGAUGUCAGAUCUCAAUAUUUGUACUUUUUUUUUUUUUUUUUUCCAGCAGAGGAGUUCCACCCGUUUCGACAGUUUGCCGCUCUUUUGGUCAAAUAUGCAGUGAAUUGUGGGUGGAAGUGCAACUGCCGCCAGCAUUUCGAGUAGGCGUUGUCGAAAGCGCCCAAACAAAUUGAGUGGUUGACUUCCUGGUUUAGCCUGUAACUUGAGUCCACCGCUCAGUCACUGAAUAACGACAAGUGAAGUGAAAGUCAACAAAUGACACGCAUGAGCUCUGGGGCUUGAUGUCAAAAAAUGCCGUUGACUUUGGCGCGGACGCUUUCUUUUGACAGUCGUGCGGGCGUACGCGGGCGGGGAAGGCGCAACAGUCGUUGGGCAAUCGGAGUUGACUUUGCGCCCGUCGCUUACCCCGAAGCGGCGCGACGCCGAGCCGCUCGAAAAACUCCUUCGAGCCGACUGCAUUUGCUCAAUG
Hippocampus comes (tiger tail seahorse) is the source of this 1808-nucleotide long non-coding RNA. RefSeq lists it as uncharacterized. The record is from RefSeq and is a predicted model, not a curated record. The transcript is spliced from 2 exons. NCBI's taxonomy places the organism in Eukaryota, Metazoa, Chordata, Actinopteri, Syngnathiformes, Syngnathidae.